GACGAACGCUGGCGGCGUGCUUAACACAUGCAAGUCGAACGGAAAGGCCCUGCUUUUGUGGGGUGCUCGGGUGGCGAACGGGUGAGUAACACGUGAGUAACCUGCCCUUGACUUUGGGAUAACUUCAGGAAACUGGGGCUAAUACCGGAUAGGAGCUCCUGCUGCAUGGUGGGGGUUGGACAGUUUCGGCGGUUGGGGAUGGACUCGCGGCUUAUCAGCUUGUUGGUGGGGUAGUGGCUUACCAAGGCUUUGACGGGUAGCCGGCCUGAGAGGGUGACCGGCGACAUUGGGACUGAGAUACGGCCCAGACUGCUACGGGAGGCAGCAGUGGGGAAUAUUGCACAAUGGGCGGAAGCGUGAUGCAGCAACGCCGCGUGCGGGAUGACGGCCUUCGGGUUGUAAACCGCUUUCGCCUGUGACGAAGCGUGAGUGACGGUAAUGGGUAAAGAAGCACCGGCUAACUACGUG
Molecule: ribosomal RNA, 468 nt
Filed under: uncultured bacterium
Lineage: Bacteria
Description: partial 16S ribosomal RNA
Rfam family: Bacterial small subunit ribosomal RNA
Source: RNAcentral